RNAcentral lists this ribosomal RNA (118 nucleotides) under Lepisosteus oculatus (spotted gar). The record is from RNAcentral. Lineage: Eukaryota; Metazoa; Chordata; Actinopteri; Semionotiformes; Lepisosteidae.
GCCAGCAACCAUAUCACCCUGCAACUCCCAGCUGGCAGCCCUCUGGAGCUCAGCAGGUGUGAGCCUGGUCAGUACCUGGAGGGGAGACUCCUGGGAAAAACUAAGGUUGCUGCUGGAA